This 240-nucleotide unclassified non-coding RNA is filed under the name soil metagenome. Its description in RNAcentral is "partial contains 5.8S ribosomal RNA, internal transcribed spacer 2, and large subunit ribosomal RNA". The record is from RNAcentral.
AAGACUAUAGACCUGCGGAGUACCUGCGGAAGGAUCAUUAACGUAUCUAUGAUGGGGUGCGGAGCGCCCUGCUCCGGUCGAACGGCCGUGCAGUGAGUGCGCCGCCCCCGUCCCACCUCACAAACCCACUGUGAACAUUCACCGGUGGAGGGGGCUCGGUCUGCGCCGUGUCCCCGAUGCCGAAUACCCAAACUCCAGUUGCAAAGAACGUCGUGCGGACUCGGUGCCGCCUAAAACAUG